This 116-nucleotide ribosomal RNA is filed under the name Danio rerio (zebrafish). Lineage: Eukaryota; Metazoa; Chordata; Actinopteri; Cypriniformes; Danionidae. The record is from RNAcentral.
UAACUCAGCCAUUUCACCCUGCAGCCCAAGACGGUUACUCACUGAAGCUAAGCAGGGCUGAGCCUGGUCAGUACCAGGAAGAGUGACCACAUGGGAAAACUAGGUUGCUGUUGGAA